GACGAACGCUGGCGGCGUGCUUAACACAUGCAAGUCGAACGGAAAGGCCCUGCGUUUGUGGGGUUCUCGAGAGGCGAACGGGUGAGUAACACGUGAGUAACCUGCCCUUGACUUUGGGAGAACUUCAGGGAACUGCGGCGAAUACCGGGUAGAAGCUCCUGCUGCACGGUGGUGGAUGGAAAGUGUCGGCGGUUGGGGCUGGACUCGCGGCUUAUCGGCUGGUUGGGGGGGUAGGGGCGUACAAAGUCUAUGAAGGGUAGCCGGCCUGAGAGAGUGGCCGGCCACCUUGGGACUGAGGUACGGCGCAGUCUCCUACGGGACGCAGCGGUGGGGAACCUUGCACAGUGGGCGGACGCCUGUUGCAGCAACGCCGCGUGCGGGAUGCCGUCCUUCGGGUUGUAAACCGCUUUCGCCUGUGCCAAAGCGUUCGUGACGGUAACGGGUAAAGAAGCACCGGCUAACUACGUG
This 468-nucleotide ribosomal RNA is filed under the name uncultured bacterium. Its description in RNAcentral is "partial 16S ribosomal RNA". It matches the Rfam family "Bacterial small subunit ribosomal RNA", at positions 28 to 507 of the family's 1533-position model. The record is from RNAcentral.